GCCGGGAUGGCGGAAUUGGCAGACGCGUACGCUUGAGGGGCGUAUGGGAUUCCCGUGGGGGUUCAAAUCCCCCUCCCGGCACCA
Molecule: transfer RNA, 84 nt
Filed under: Candidatus Fraserbacteria bacterium RBG_16_55_9
Lineage: Bacteria; Candidatus Fraseribacteriota
Also listed under: 4 other names
Description: tRNA-Leu
Rfam family: tRNA
About the family: Transfer RNA (tRNA) molecules are approximately 80 nucleotides in length. Their secondary structure includes four short double-helical elements and three loops (D, anti-codon, and T loops).
Source: RNAcentral